UACGUAGGGGGCAAGCGUUGUCCGGAAUCAUUGGGCGUAAAGCGCGUGUAGGCGGCCUUGUAAGUCCGUUCUGAAAGCCCGGGGCUCAACCCCGGGAGGCGGAUGGAUACUGCAGGGCUCGAGUACGGAAGAGGCGAGUGGAAUUCCCGGUGUAGCGGUGAAAUGCGCAGAUAUCGGGAGGAACACCAAUGGCGAAGGCAGCUCGCUGGGACGUUACUGACGCUGAGACGCGAAAGCGUGGGGAGCAAACAGG
This 253-nucleotide ribosomal RNA is filed under the name uncultured bacterium. Its description in RNAcentral is "partial 16S ribosomal RNA". It matches the Rfam family "Bacterial small subunit ribosomal RNA", at positions 524 to 776 of the family's 1533-position model. The record is from RNAcentral.